This 231-nucleotide long non-coding RNA is filed under the name Populus trichocarpa (black cottonwood). RNAcentral describes it as "long non-coding RNA (PTRI_LNC000232)". Lineage: Eukaryota; Viridiplantae; Streptophyta; Magnoliopsida; Malpighiales; Salicaceae. The record is from RNAcentral.
AAAUUUUUACAAUUUGGUCACAAAAGAUUUCAUUCUAAAACCGAAACCCUAAUAUUAAAACACUAAAAUAAGUUAUAAAUGCAAAAGAACUAUAAAUUAUUGGUUAAUGAUGUCAUGUGAAGAUGAAGAUGUAAAUAAAUGAAACAAAACUACUCAAAAUCACAUAGCUAAAGUAACGUUCUUGGGAAGAUCAUGAAGAACAAAUGAAGAACAUUCAAAGUGAACCCAACA